UACAGGGGGGGCAAGCGUUGUUCGGAAUUACUGGGCGUAAAGGGCUCGUAGGCGGUUUGUCACGUCGGGAGUGAAAACUCAGGGCUCAACCCUGAGCGUGCUUCCGAUACGGGCAGACUAGAGGUAUGCAGGGGAGAACGGAAUUCCUGGUGUAGCGGUGGAAUGCGCAGAUAUCAGGAGGAACACCAACGGCGAAGGCAGCUCGCUAGGACGGUACUGACGCUGAGACGCGAAAGCGUGGGGAGCGAACAGG
This 253-nucleotide ribosomal RNA is filed under the name uncultured bacterium. RNAcentral describes it as "partial 16S ribosomal RNA". It matches the Rfam family "Bacterial small subunit ribosomal RNA", at positions 524 to 776 of the family's 1533-position model. The record is from RNAcentral.